GAGAGAGGCUUAGAGCACCAAGAACUGCUAACUCUUGUAUCUUUGGUUAAAUUCCAGAGCUCACUCA
Molecule: transfer RNA, 67 nt
Filed under: Sillago sp. 1 SS-2021
Lineage: Eukaryota; Metazoa; Chordata; Actinopteri; Sillaginidae
Description: tRNA-Ser
Source: RNAcentral